RNAcentral lists this transfer RNA (73 nucleotides) under Stegodyphus mimosarum. It matches the Rfam family "tRNA". Rfam says of the family: Transfer RNA (tRNA) molecules are approximately 80 nucleotides in length. The record is from Rfam by way of RNAcentral. Lineage: Eukaryota; Metazoa; Arthropoda; Arachnida; Araneae; Eresidae.
GCUUUUGUGGUUUAAUUAGAAGCACGUCCGGCUAGCAGUCGGCAGUUCCGGAGUUCGAAUCUCGGAAAAAGCA